ACUGUGUACUCGUGCAUCUGCUCGUACACACGCACACGCACGUGCGCGCAUGCACGAAAAUGGAUGUCCCCCUUAAAAAAAAAGGAAGUCGAUUAUUCAUGAGCAGCAGUAGCGGGGACGAGUACGACCCGGCAGAGGUGGUUGUGCACACAACCGUUGCAUCACCCUCUCUCAGCGACACCGUGGUGCCCUCAACGGCGCCGUUCUUGAGGUCGGCAGCGGAGAACGCAUCCGCAGCGACCGUCGCUGCGGUGGCUGCCUUGACCUCUCUUCCGAAGACGACAGCUUCAGCGCUCCCCUCUUCCUCCUCGCCGACCCCGCGCAGUGCUGGAAACGACGUCGACGGUGGCUACCGCUUGCACAGCGACAUCAAGGGCCGCAUCCGCUGCCUCACACUCAAUACGGCUGGUACGACGCUGUGCGCCGGCAGCGAGGAUGGGCAGCUGUGCAUGUGGGACUUCACCGUUCCUCUCAAGUCGUAUCGCUUGCAGCCAACGCGGGUGCUGACGCCGUUUGUGAACCGCAUCUCGGGAUUGCAGCCCAUCAUCGCCUUGGCAUGCGCGAGCGACGACAGUUACUUUGUCGCCUGCCAGGAUGGGGACAGCCCGGCGCUGGUGCGAGCGUCUGGGGAACAGCUGGGGUACUGCGCAAUCGGGGAGCGUGGCUUGAUGGAUGUGAUUCAGUGCAAGGGCCAUCGCGCUCCCGUCACGUGCGUCGCCGCGCACACCCACGACGCAGCCGCCUUCUUCACGGGCAGCCAAGACGGCACGGUGCGGCUGUGGAACAGCGCCACGUUCAAGCAGAGGAGUGUGUACGCGGUGAAGCACGGAUCGGGGCAGCUGACCGAUACCCAUGUGGUGGAGAGCGUGGCCAGCCUCAACCGCUUCCACAAUGGACUGGGGCGCGUUUUUGCCAGCGGAGGGCAGGAUGGCCGAGUGCAGAUAUGGGACAGCAGGGUGAAAUACCGUCCCGGCGGGGCCAUCGCCACGGUGAAUAUGUACGCUGCAGCAGCACCGGCAGGGCCGGGCAAGGCGACGGAGGACCCCUUCAUGGAGAAGCACGUGGGCGGCAUGAUGGAGCUACACCAGAAGGAUGCAGGCGCCUCGCACGCUUCCGGCAGUUACGGGCUUGCCGUACGUCUGGGCAGCGCUGUCAAGAUAAUCGACCUCCGCCGGCUCUCUCACAGCGAUGGUGCCACUGCGCCGAAAGCAGUCGUUCAAGAGGCGGCUACCGGGCUGCCCCAUGUGCUCGACACGACCGCUCUGUCGAUCGGGCGCGGUGGUGGGUCUUCAAUGAUGACGUGCACAAGUCGUGCCGGCUACAGGCACACCAAGGGCGGCCACGUAGUGCAGUAUUGCUACGCGGAUGGCGACCGACUUGACCUGACGCUGGUCUGGCGGGCCGGCAAGCAAGACGAGGAUGUCCUCUGCGCAUGUGCGGAUAUCAGCCGUGCUGACGGCUGUCUCUUCGCCGGCCUCAGCUCUGGCGAUGUGGUAGUGCAUGGCGCCUUCUCGAAUGGUGCGGCAGCACCGCAGCCCAUGGAAGCGUGGCUGCAGACGCGCCCACAGAGAGAGGGGCACGAGCGUGCCGUCGGCGUAAAGGCGCCGCGUGCAGUUGAGGACGACGCCGAUCUGCUGCAUGACCUGUUCUAGACAAGGCGGCUUUUUUUUGUGGGACCGCUGCUCUCUCGCCCACCCACACGUGAAGACGGAGAGGCAAAUAAGGGAGGCGGGGAGAGGAAGGGAACCCAAGCAAGCUCGUGACGUGCAUGUGCGAAUGAGGAAGACCUCACAG
RNAcentral lists this unclassified non-coding RNA (1794 nucleotides) under Leishmania donovani. RNAcentral describes it as "gene:LdHU3.33.1090(CDS-product:WD_domain_G-beta_r epeat_putative)". Lineage: Eukaryota; Euglenozoa; Kinetoplastea; Trypanosomatida; Trypanosomatidae. The record is from RNAcentral.